RNAcentral lists this ribosomal RNA (784 nucleotides) under uncultured bacterium. Its description in RNAcentral is "bacterial SSU rRNA". It matches the Rfam family "Bacterial small subunit ribosomal RNA", at positions 63 to 859 of the family's 1533-position model. The record is from RNAcentral.
UGAGCGGAGAUAUAUGGAGCUUGCUUUAUAUAACUUAGCAGCGAACGGGUGAGUAACACGUAGAUAAUCUAUCCUAUACUGGGGGAUAGCCCGAUGAAAGUUGGAUUAAUACCGCAUAUAGCUAUAUAGUUGCAUGAUUAUGUAGUGAAAGAUUUAUUGGUAUAGGAGGAGUCUGCGGCACAUUAGCUAGUAAGUGAGGUAAAGGCUUACCUAGGCGACGAUGUGUAGCCGGUCUGAGAGGAUGAACGGCCACAAUGGAACUGAGACACGGUCCAUACUCCUACGGGAGGCAGCAGUGGGGAAUAUUGCACAAUGGGGGAAACCCUGAUGCAGCAACGCCGCGUGAGUGAAGAAGGUUUUCGGAUUGUAAAGCUCUGUUAGCAGGGAAGAGGAAGGACGGUACCUGCAGAAGAAGCCACGGCUAACUACGUGCCAGCAGCCGCGGUAAUACGUAGGUGGCAAGCGUUGUUCGGAAUAACUGGGCGUAAAGGAUGCGUAGGCGGUUAAACAAGUUAUAUGUUAAAUAUAUAGGCUUAACCUGUAGAAAGCAUAUAAAACUGUUUAACUAGAGUGCAGGAGAGGUAAGUGGAAUUCCUAGUGUAGCGGUGAAAUGCGUAGAGAUUAGGAAGAACACCAGUGGCGAAGGCGACUUACUGGACUGUAACUGACGCUGAGGCAUGAGAGCAUGGGGAGCAAACAGGAUUAGAUACCCUGGUAGUCCAUGCUGUAAACGAUGGGUACUAGGUGUGGGUUGUGAAUAACAAUUCGUGCCGUCGCAAACGCA